CCUGGGUGACAGACUGAGAGUCUGCCAGAAAAAAAAAAAAAAAGAAAGAAAAAGAAACCCCUGCAACUCCAGUUACCUCUCACCAUCUUCAAACACCUAAGUCCAAGUCCCCGUUCUCUCUCACCUGGACUAUUUACACUGAGGUAGUGAGAUGUCUUUUCUCCACCCUGUAGUUAGAGUAUUCUUAAUCAUUGACUCCUAGGCUCAAAAUUCUCCACUAAAGAAAAACAAUAACUACCUCCCAGUGGCUUCCCAUCUGACACUUGAAUUUCCUGAAUGAGAUCCUAAGUCUUUACCAUAGCUUAUAAGGCCUUACAUGGUCUACUCAGCUCUCCACGAAACCUUCCUUUAUCCUUCCCUGGCCCAUUGCCCACCACUUGAUGAUCAAUAGUACAAGUGUGUUUGGAAUGCAGGAGUUUUACACUUGCUUCUCCCUCUGCCCAGAACGCUCUUACUCAGCUGUCCGCAUGGCUUACUCCUUCACUUCCCAUGGGCGUCUGCUCAGAUCUCAUCUUCUCUGACCACCCCAUCUAAAACAGUGCAGAUGUACACACGCACCAUACCAGAUCCUCAAUCCCUGUUUCCUUCUCCCUUUUCAUAGCCUCUGCCUUGGUAUUUUUAUUUAGAGAUGGUGCCUUCCUUGCUUUUUGCUGCAUCCCUAACACCCAACACCGUAUCUCACACAGACUGCUAAAUUGAACAAGGUUGGUGUGGAUGGGAACUUCUGCUCCUCAGUGCCUCAGGGAUAGUGGAUGCAGUUAAGGCAGGUGGCUAGGGAAGCACAGAUAGUAAGGCAAGAGAGAGAAGAGUUUAUCACAGACAGUACGAUGUGGUUUCACCAGUGUAUCACCAGCCAGGACAUAACUUGGGGGAAAGGGAUUAAAGAACAUCCUGGUCUCAUUUAUUUGUGGUCAGUUGUGCCUACAGAUAAAUCGAAUAAACUCAUCAGCUGUGUCAACUGAGUGGCAUAUAGAACAGAAAGGUGCCUCAUCCUAAGCUUUUGAAAGGCUUUCUUCUACCUACUAAGUAUAUUAUUAAUAGCAAGUACAUUUUACUUUGUUUUUCAAUCUGGGAUCGAUAAAGCAGAUUCCUCCAAAAACGAUUGAGAGUCAUGGGCAUUCUGCAAGGUUCUGGGGUCU
This is a long non-coding RNA of Sapajus apella (tufted capuchin), 1139 nucleotides long. RefSeq lists it as uncharacterized. Lineage: Eukaryota; Metazoa; Chordata; Mammalia; Primates; Cebidae. The record is from RefSeq and is a predicted model, not a curated record. The transcript is spliced from 2 exons.